UGAGGAAUAUUGGUCAAUGGGCGGGAGCCUGAACCAGCCAAGCCGCGUGAGGGAGGAAGGCCCUAUGGGUCGUAAACCUCUUUUGUCAGGGAACAAAAGCGAGUAUGUAUACUAGUCUGAGUGUACCUGAAGAAAAAGCAUCGGCUAACUCCGUGCCAGCAGCCGCGGUAAUACGGAGGAUGCGAGCGUUAUCCGGAUUUAUUGGGUUUAAAGGGUGCGUAGGCGGGCUGGCAAGUCGGCGGUCAAAUGUCGGGGCUCAACCCCGGCCUGCCGUCGAAACUGCCGGCCUUGAGUGAGCGAGAAGCAGGCGGAAUGCGUGGUGUAGCGGUGAAAUGCAUAGAUAUCACGCAGAACCCCGAUUGCGAAGGCAGCCUGCCGGCGCUCAACUGACGCUGAGGCACGAAAGUGCGGGGAUCGAACAGGAUUAGAUACC
This 433-nucleotide ribosomal RNA is filed under the name uncultured bacterium. RNAcentral's name for it is "bacterial SSU rRNA". It matches the Rfam family "Bacterial small subunit ribosomal RNA", at positions 355 to 786 of the family's 1533-position model. The record is from RNAcentral.